This 253-nucleotide ribosomal RNA is filed under the name uncultured bacterium. RNAcentral's name for it is "partial 16S ribosomal RNA". It matches the Rfam family "Bacterial small subunit ribosomal RNA", at positions 524 to 776 of the family's 1533-position model. The record is from RNAcentral.
UACGUAGGGGGCAAGCGUUGUCCGGAUUUAUUGGGCGUAAAGAGCGUGUAGGCGGCCAGGUAGGUCAGCUGUGAAAACUCGAGGCUUAACCUCGAGACGCCGGCUGAAACCCGCUGGCUAGAGUCCGGAAGAGGAGAGCGGAAUUCCUGGUGUAGCGGUGAAAUGCGCAGAUAUCGGGAGGAACACCUAUGGCGAAGGCAGCUCGCUGGGACGUUACUGACGCUGAGACGCGAAAGCGUGGGGAGCAAACAGG